This 233-nucleotide ribosomal RNA is filed under the name uncultured bacterium. RNAcentral's name for it is "partial 16S ribosomal RNA". It matches the Rfam family "Bacterial small subunit ribosomal RNA", at positions 100 to 334 of the family's 1533-position model. The record is from RNAcentral.
CGGGACGGGUGAGUAAUGUCUGGGAAACUGCCUGAUGGAGGGGGGUAACUACUGGAAACGGUAGCUAAUACCGCAUAACGUCGCAAGACCAAAGAGGGGGACCUUAGGGCCUCUUGCCAUCGGAUGUGCCCAGAUGGGAUUAGCUAGUAGGUGGGGUAGCGGCUCACCUAGGCGACGAUCCCUAGCUGGUCUGAGAGGAUGACCAGCCACACUGGAACUGAGACACGGUCCAG